GCUUGACUGUAGCUUGUAAUUGGGUUCGGGCUUUUUUUGCGCAGCCUAGGUGGGAGGCAACGAUGAUUUUUUUCCGGAAAAAUUUGAGCCGUUAGUGAGAGACCACUCUGAAAAGGCUAGAAUCCUAAUAAUGAUCCUUGAAUCAGGACACUUGACAGUUUCAGGUGGGCAGUUUGACUGGGGCGGUCGCCUCCUAAAAGGUAACGGAGGUGCGCAAAGGUUCCCUCAAGCUGGACGGAAAUCAGCUGUAAGAGUGUAAAGGCAUAAAGGGAGCUUGACUGCAAGACCUACAAGUCGAGCAGGGGCGAAAGCCGGCCUUAGUGAUCCGACGGUACCGCGUGGAAGGGCCGUCGCUCAACGGAUAGAAGUUA
RNAcentral lists this ribosomal RNA (371 nucleotides) under uncultured alga. Its description in RNAcentral is "bacterial LSU rRNA". It matches the Rfam family "Bacterial large subunit ribosomal RNA", at positions 2098 to 2465 of the family's 2925-position model. The record is from RNAcentral.